GUGCUCGCUUUGGCAGUACAUAUACUAAAACUGGAACAAUACAGAGAAGAUUAGCAUGGCCCUUGCACAAGAAUGACACGCAAAUUUGUGAAGUGUUCCAUAUUCUG
Molecule: small nuclear RNA, 107 nt
Organism: Sorex araneus (European shrew)
Lineage: Eukaryota; Metazoa; Chordata; Mammalia; Eulipotyphla; Soricidae
Source: Ensembl